This 497-nucleotide ribosomal RNA is filed under the name uncultured bacterium. Its description in RNAcentral is "partial 16S ribosomal RNA". It matches the Rfam family "Bacterial small subunit ribosomal RNA", at positions 28 to 507 of the family's 1533-position model. The record is from RNAcentral.
GAUGAACGCUGGCGGCGUGCCUAAUACAUGCAAGUCGAGCGAACGGACGAGGAGCUUGCGUCUCUGAUGUUAUCGGCGGACGGGUGAGUCACACGUGGAUAACCUACCUAUAAGACUGGGAUACUUUCGGGAAACCGGAUCUAAUACCGGAUAAUAUUUUGAACCGCAUGGUUCAAAAGUGAAAGACGGUCUUUCUGUCACUUAUAGCUGGAUCCGCGCUGCAUUAGCUAGUUGGUAAGGUAACGGCUUACCAAGGCUACGAUGCAUAGCCGACCUGAGAGGGAGAUCGGCCACACUGGCAGUGAGACACGGUCAAGACUCCUACGGUAGGCAGCAGUCGGGAAUCUUCCGCAAUGGGGGAAAGCCUGACAGAGCACCGUGGCGUGAGUGAUGAACGUCUUCGGACCGGAAAGCUCUGUUAUUAGUAAAGAACAUAUGUGUAAGUAACCGUGAACAUAUUGACGGUACCGAAUCAAAAAGCCACGGCUAACUACGUG